UACAGAGGGGGCAAGCGUUGUCCGGAUUUAUUGGGUUUAAAGGGUGCGUAGGCGGCCCGUUAAGUCAGUGGUGAAAGCCUCCAGCUCAACUGGAGAACUGCCAUUGAUACUGGCGGGCUUGAGUACAGACGAGGUUGGCGGAAUUGAUUGUGUAGCGGUGAAAUGCAUAGAUACAAUCAAGAACACCGAUUGCGUAGGCAGCUAACUAGGCUGUAACUGACGCUGAGGCACGAAAGCGUGGGGAGCGAACAGG
RNAcentral lists this ribosomal RNA (253 nucleotides) under uncultured bacterium. Its description in RNAcentral is "partial 16S ribosomal RNA". It matches the Rfam family "Bacterial small subunit ribosomal RNA", at positions 524 to 776 of the family's 1533-position model. The record is from RNAcentral.